UUAACUCGGUCAAAAACCCUUCCUUUCUCCUUCAGUAGUUUUCUGUCCCUUCAUCAGUGGCACUUGCAGCGAGCAGUAUAAGCAUUUGAAGUUCUGCGACUAUCUGGUACGACAGAGAGCGAGUCGAACAGCCAUGCAGACUCGUCUGUGAAUCACACGUGCUGGGAAGAAGGAGUUGCUGACAAAUACCAGAUGAGCUAGCAUUACCAUCUCCAUAAAGAUUUUUUUCCCUUCCUCUUCCCAAAAAUGAUCAGCUGCGAAUCUCUUUUUCAAGAAACCAUAGAAUAACCAGAAGAUACAGAGUUAUCUGGUCUGAAGCAUGUUGGAACAUACCCCCUCCGGCAGCGCCUGUUAAGGGAAGAGUUUGCCAAGAUGCACGAGGAAAUCUAUGUUGCAUCAGCUGCCCUUCCUGUAGGGAAGAAGCAGCCGAGGUGCUCCAAAUAAUAGAAGAAUCGCUGUAAUCGAGUGGGUACAACGCGUCUUCUUUCCGAAGUCAUGAAGCUAAAAUUCCCACCCUGAUCUGCAGCAAGCUAGAGAAGCUGGAGCUGCUGAGCCCCUAGCCCUCAGGUGUCACGCGGUGUUCCCUCAGCAGGCCUGCUCUGACCCGGGGCAGAGGUGUGGAGGCUCUCGCAGCAACACCAGAGUCUAAUGAACUUUUACAGCUCGUCUCUUCUGAGGAGUCUGGUGGUGCGCUGCGCCCGAGGCCAUCCAUCACUGCGGAAGGAGGCUGCUUCUGCACGAUGACGCUAAUCUGCUGACCGAAAAAGCAGACGUGCAGCGUGCUUUCCCAUAAGCCGUGUCACGGUCUUCGUACCACAUGCAGCCAGCUGCUGAGUAAGGGUUUGAGCCAGAGCCCACUGAGUCAGAGGGAACCUCUCCUCGGACGUCGGGCGCCUUCGGAGUCCUUCCACCGGGGCGCGAUGUCUUUAAGUAGUAACUUUAUACAGUGAAGGACCCUGAUUUGGCUAGUAGCCUUCAGAAGAGGCUUCAGAAGAUUAUACCCGUCCACUUUUAAAUAUCCUAGCUUUGAUUUUCAUCAUGGUUCUACUUAAGAAACCUAUUAGUAUCUUGUUUGCCCUGUUUUUUAUCUUACUAUGAUUUUUUUGAAUUUGUUGCCAAGACCUUUCUCAUAGUUUUCAGAGACAAACCAAUAGCUUUAAAGAUUAAUAGUCUGCCCAAAUGCCUGCAGGAUCUCCACAACUGAGAAAAUAACUACCCAUGAUUUACAAAUCUUUUAAAAUUUAGAAGUGCAUGUGGACCACAGCAAAAGAGCUUCUGCGUUAACAGAGUAGAGAACUCUUUUCAGUGUUUUUUGUAAGAAUAAUCUCUAUACUUUUAGGACGUUGUUCUGUCUUUCUCACUAGCUCAAAUGUAGGUGAAUCCCUCGCUUUAGCUCUGUAGUAAGACACAAUUCAGACCACUGUUUAUCCUUAAUUUCUAGUCAAGAAAGUUGAAGGUUUUAUGUAUGCUCAGCAGGUGGUGUGGCUCUCUUAGUGUUAUAUCAAGAUUGAAAACAAAUAAUCUUUAAAACCAUAAUGAAUUACCAGAAUUAUGUAUAGUCAUUGGAAUUAACUGCAUUGCGUAACUCGUACUAUACCUCUCUGCCCAGAAAUGCGUCUUGCUUUCCGGAAAGGUACUUCAUCCUUCUAGGAUUUUUCAAGACAAAUUUUCUUAAAUCAACAAAAGAUGAUAAACCUUAACUCCAGUGACCUCCUGCAGUUGUGCUCUCCAAGGACCUGCUUGUCUUUGGUUCCUGUGGGCUGUGUAGGGUAAAAAAGCCUACGGUGGAAAACCUCUUCAAGUCCAGCGGACAUUGAAGCACUUUGGGGCUUCACGGCAGCCCCCGUACACCUCCUUUGCAUUAGUCAAGCUGUUCCUUUAUAUUUUCCUUUGUUUCCUACCCCUUAGCAUGACCUUUUGGAUUCUUCCCUGUAGCUGGAUCUCUUCCAGGUUAGCUUUAAAUUCUGCUCUUAAUUUUGCAGGGGCAACUGCCAUCCAAGUCAUCCCAGUCGCUGUGGGAAUACGCUUGUGGUAUGGUACUUGUCUGCCUACUUUGCAGCUUGCAACACUUCUAGCUGAUUUAGUUGCAGCCUCUCUCUUCUCCGUUCUGUUCUUCAUCAGCUGCUUGGCCGU
Struthio camelus australis is the source of this 2133-nucleotide long non-coding RNA. RefSeq lists it as uncharacterized. NCBI's taxonomy places the organism in Eukaryota, Metazoa, Chordata, Aves, Struthioniformes, Struthionidae. The record is from RefSeq and is a predicted model, not a curated record.